Mus caroli (Ryukyu mouse) is the source of this 457-nucleotide long non-coding RNA. RefSeq lists it as uncharacterized. Lineage: Eukaryota; Metazoa; Chordata; Mammalia; Rodentia; Muridae. The record is from RefSeq and is a predicted model, not a curated record.
CUCCUCCAUGGCUUCCUGCCUUCAGGUUCCUGCCUUGAGUUCCUGCCCUGACCUCUUCCAGUGAUGGAGUGCGACCGGAGCUGUCCAGCUCUCUCACUCAUGGACGUAUAACUCAGAGGACUCUGUCUCCUUAUCGGACCACAGUUACCUCUUCAUCCACAUUCAUGGCUGCCUUAUUCUCAACAGCAAGAAAAUGGAACCAGCCCAGCUGCGUACCAACUAUGCCAGGAUAAUGAAAACCUGCGUGCGUGCGUGCGUGCGUGCACAGUGGGACUGUACUCAUUUAUAAAGAAAAAAAAUCAUGAAAUUUGCAGAAAAAUGGAUGGGUUUGGAAAAUAUUGUGUUAAAUGAGGUGAUCUAGACUCAGAAAAGCCAAAAUUAUGUGUUGUCUUUCCCAUGAGGAUUCUCGCUCAUAAAGUCAUACAUAAGUAUAUAAUAAAUAGUCUGUACAUAGGUA